GCAUAAUCGGAAAUCCAUUUAAAAGCAAGGAGGACCUCAAUAGAGAAAUAUAGUUUCAUCUUUCUUCUGGUCCAAAAGUAUAGCUCUAAUCAUUCAGUAAGAAGAUAAGAACUGAAUCGGGUAAAUCAGAGCAGAUUUUAACUAUACUAGACACAAAAUUGGCUGCAACAGUAUAUGAUAGUUGUUAUGUUACUGAAACGUGACAUUAUAACAUUUGUAAUUUGCUAAACUUGGUUCCUGUGUUUUAGCAGUGGAAGGGGUUAUAAAUAAAGGGUACCUCGCUAUUUGAAAAAACUUAUAUUGAAUGAACAGAAUAGCCAUCACUAGAUGGAAAGGGACACAUCUGCUAGACAACUAUGGCACUUUACUAGUUCAAACAUGACACCAAUAGUAAUUCUGCAGGUAUUUCUACUAUCCCUUUAAGCACCCGGCCACAGACAGCUUUUGUGAUAAACCACACUCCAAAUCCCUUCCUAUUCAUCUCUAUGAUUACCUCCACCACCACCAUGACUGCCAUGAGCACCAAUGAAGGCAAUAAAGGAGAAAGCAAUCUAUAAGAAUCUUAAGAAGUAUAAGUAAAAAGAAUGGAUGGAUUACAAAUUCAAAUAGACUAACAUGCCUAUUCCAUGACGUAGGCCAGAUAUGACCUGUGGUCCUCAAUACAAACCCCAAUCUGGGGUCUCUAAUAUAGUUACCAGGCAACAUUACCAACUAGGCCAAAUUGACACCUUUUCCACCCACCAUUAGUUUGGAAUCAUCUGACCACUAUUUCAUAAAUUUAGUAUCUAAUGCAUAUAGUCAGAGAAAUAAAUAACAAAACCUACAGCAAUGCCUCAAGUCGAAUGAUCACAGUCAUUUUUAUGAGUAAGUAGCUCUCAACUAAUUAAUUUUUCGUCAAAAUGGGGUUUACAUAUAAACCAAAGAUACUUUAAUAAGUUUCACACCAUUCGAAAACAAACAAUAUGCAUUUCAAAAUUAAACUAAUCACCAUAUAACAUUUGUCUAGAAAGCAAUUUUCCACAAUUUCAUAAAGAAUUGCACGGCAUUGAUUAAUAAGAAGAGUUCAGAUGGUGUAAUCACAAAUCUCCUAGACUCCUACAUUAACAUUAUCGCGCCGCCGAAAUUUUGAAACCAUUUACAACUAAAUACACGAAAUUAUCAAUUCCACGAGGAAAAAGGACAAAAAAAAACUUACCCUUGUAUCAUUAAUGUUUGUACGCUUGCAGUGAAUCUUGAAAUGGCCAAAUCUUGUAGCUUCAUUCCUGUUGAGUAGAAAUGUGAACUGGGAUGAGAGAAAAGAGCGCUUUGGAGCGGCGGAGAAACUGAAAGAGAGCUUGUGAGGGAGAAUGGGAGAGGAUAAAGUGAAGGCCAUGAACGGAAAGGAAGGUUGGUACUUGCUGAUAGAGCGGGGAUUUUGGCGGGUUUAAUCCACUGCUUGCGACUAAAAGCUUAUCUGGUAGUCUUCGAUUGGUUUUCGUAUGGUUUUGGUUCCAUAAUGACUAGAUUGCCCCUGCAGGUUUAUUUUUUGGAGAGUGGCGGUCCUGACGGAGACCGAGAGGCGGACGAAUUCAGAAAUCAGAAGCGAAUACGAGAUUUACGUCCCUAAAAUUUUAAAAAAUGAUGAUCAAUACGCUCAAAUUUUUUUAAAAAAAUUAAAUUUUUUUUUACUGUAAUAUAUUUUACCUCUAUUAUUUUAAAAAAUUAAUGCUAAUAUUUUAUAGUAAAUAGAAAUAUAACAUUAAGAUAAAUUCAAUAAUAUAUACAUUUUAAAAUAAUUUUAAUUUUUAAAAGUAUUUUAAUAUUUUAUAAUAUAUUAGAUAUAUUUAUUAUAUUAAAGUAAGUUUUACAAUAAAUAGAAUCAUAAUGUUAAAAUAAAUGUAUUAAAAUUUAAAUUAUUUUAAAUUUUAUGUAGAAUAAUAAUUUUAUCAUUGUUAGUAUGUGAGAUUUUUUAAUUAUAAAAUGUAUUUAACGUGAAUAUUUAUUUAAAAUCAUACAAUAAAUAACAACAUACUAUUAAAAUAAAUAUAAAAAUUUAUAUAUUUAAAUUUGUUAAAGUAUUAAAAUAUUUUAAAAUUGUUAGUUUACUGCAUAGAUUGCAUUAUUUAUAAAAUAUUUGUAUUUAAAAAAAAUUAAAGUCAAUUUUUUAGAAUAACAGAGGUAGAUGGUAUAAUGAUUAAAAGAGUUUCUUGUGUCCGUUUUUGAAAAUUUAGGGAUGUUAAUGACCAUUUCUUCAAAUUUUGGAGAUGUACAUAUCUUUUUUCCCAAUUAAGAAUAUUAAAAUUACUUUUAUUUUAAGAAAAAUGAUACUCCCUCAUCCCCCAAAAUUUAAUUGUUUGUAUGUAACGUAUCAUUCACCUGUGCAUUAUACAAAACUCAAGUAGUUGUUAAUUGAUUUUUUAUUUUAUUUUCACUUGCAACGAUAGCCCCAAUUAUUAAAUAAAAUCCCCCAAAUCAAAAUCUCUAUAGCUACAACAAAAAUUCCAAAUUUCCCAAUGAUUUACACCGUAAUUAUGAAUGAAAAAACAGUUUAAAAUCAAUCCUUUGCUAAAUUUACUUCGACAUCCACCCAUUCAUGCCAACCGGGCAAAUGGUUGGUGGUAAUCUACAACCUUUUGUAAUCAAAAGCAGUCUCAGCUUUUAUUUAAUUUUUUUUUCCCUCUCCUUUGGAUAUUAAAUUACAUUGUAUAAUUCAAAUUGAUUGACAAAUAUAUGAGAAAAAUUCUAUCAAGAUUUGAAGUAUAGUCUAAUAUACAUUUGAACCUACCUUGAUAUAUGUCAGAGUUGAAGUUUAACGAAAAAAAUCCCUGCUUAAAUUUUAAAAGAGUAUCAAAUUAUACUCCUACACAUAUGGAGAUAACUCAAACCUUCAAUCUCAAUAAUAAGACAAGUAUUUGUGACUCGACCAACAAGUAGAAAGUAUCCUCACCAGAAUUUCAAACCUACUCUCAUUUACUUCUAAAUUGUCUUCAACAACAAUUUUUUAUAAUAAUUUAGUUGUUUUAAGGAAAAGUUAAAAAAAAAAAAUAAUUUCGCGAAAUAGAAUAUCCUGAAUCAGUGUAGAAGUCUCCAAUCCAUUGCCAAAUUUUAAUGAUCUUCAGAACCAAAUACCAAUCACGAAUCGAAGUUUGAUUUCCAAACUGAAGUUUUCUUUUUUCUUUUUUCUUUUUUUCAAGGGAAGUGAUUUGCUUUAUAAUGAUCCGUACAGUAGUCUAAACAAGCAAAUUGCUUUAUGUUUUAUAUUUCUCACAAUAAAGAUACAUUGUAAUUCGUUAAUUAUCUGGUCGUUGUGUAAUGAUAAUGCAUGUAAGCUUCCUCUCAUAUUGCUAGGAAGCAUGUAUAAUCUUUUCACCUGCCCGUCACAGUUUUAUUCAUAUAAAUAAAUGGUUUUUCAUGGCAUCCAUUUUUCAUUUUGCUGUAAAUUGUGCCUUGUUUGACGAAGCUGGUGGCAUUAAAAUGUUAGUUGUUGACGGCAUACAAACUAUGAAACAGUCCUACGGGAAUAGAAAUGUUAAAUGAUAUUUAUUCUUUCAAAAUGCAACUGCGAAGGGGCAGAGUACUCCUCUUAAGACUUCAAUAUGUGCCACUGCAAUCUAGCCUUUGAUUCACAUGCUGAUAGAGGAAGAACAAGCAAUAUAUGCAAUUAAUGAAUAAGAAUAGUUAAGAUAAUGUAUUGUUUCAUGCAUUCAAUUUAUGCAAUUUGUACCUGCACAUUUAAGGUUGUUCUGUACAUUGGCACAAAAAUUGCCCUGAUAGAGGAAGAAUGUUAAUUUAUUGAGACUUUUCAUUUGUUUAAAUAAGAGCCACUGCAGUCAUCAGAAUGAAGCACAACCUGGAAGUGAUAUUUCAGUUAAUGGUGCUGCUGAAUACCCAUCUGCAACAGCCUGAAUCAAUUGACAGAGAAUUAGAUGAAUGAUAUAGAAUCGAUCAGUUGUCGAGGAGUGACAAACAAUAUUGCAUUAACACAAUAAGAAGAGUAGCAGCAAAAUUGUAGCGUCUGUUUGAUGAUUGGAGAUUCACAAGUUUUCAGUAGUAAUUAUGAAAUCAGAGCAGCGCAAGCACUACAUUAAAUCCUUGUUUCAACUCCAUAGAACCUAAGACUUCAAUUAUUUUUCAAUAAGAAUUGAAAUUUGUGGAUAUAGAAAGAUGUCAAAUUAAUGAACCUUUAAGCUCAAACUACUAGGGUUAUGCUUGCUGUCAACCUAAUCAUUUGUCACUUAAGUAAUUCUAUUCUUGUGUUCAUAUUUGAGAAAAAAAAAAUCUUUUCUUUUUUACUGUACUACCAUACUUUAAAAUAAUAUUAAUGUUUUAUAAAACCCCUCUUAAUGACAAAAAUAACCGUAACUAGAAUAACUUCUGAUAGAGCCCAUUAUUUCAAUUCCUUCUUAUUGUUCAAACCAAUAUUAAAUUCAGUUUCCUAUUUUUAAAAUCCACAAUUGAAAGAUUGUUCCUUGGGAUUGUGGAAUUUAUUCAAUCCUAGCUGGUGAGUCUGGUCUUCUCCCAUCGUUAAAUUCAAUUUAUGAUUUUCAAUUCCCAAUUAUUUUCAGCACAUAAGCAGAUCAUUCAAAAAUUUUGUUUGUCUAGUAUGCCAUUAGUCGUUCUUAGCAUUAAUUCCAUCGAUGACUGCACAUGGGCCAUAGCCUCUAUUCCAUAUUUGAUCUUGGCAAAGAAUGAUAAGGCUUUCGAUUCCUUCUUUUUUUCACAAAAUUAUGGUAGAACUAAAGCCUGGAGAUUCAUUAAUUAAAUGGUAGAACUAAACAAUAAAUUACAAAAUUAUGUGUGACUUAAACACAUAAAUUAUAGAAAAAGGCAACUGGACUUGAACAAGUUAUUCCAAGCAUUGCAUGCAGUGUAGGCUAUCAACAUACUUAAUUCUUUGCUUCAUUCUCAUGGAUACCUUUUCUUCACUGAAUAAUUCUUGGCUGACGUGACAAUGCACUUGGUUUGGACUCAAUCCCAAAAUAAAAUAUUUGCCUUUCCUUCGACAAAAUUAUGACAGAGAUUAGAGAAUUGCACACCAUCUAGAUCUGGCCUUUAAUGCGGGGGCUGUUUUUUGGGCGCGCCUGUGCCCGUGGCCUAUUUUUGGCACACGGAGGCCGCCCGCCAAGUCUGGUGCCAUUCCGAGUCCCGCGGACGAACUUCGCCCACGCCCCCCACCAAGGCUAUAGCCCACCCGUUUUUUGGCCAUUUUUCCGCUGAGUCUGGUAAUUACGCUGUUGAGCUGAUAGCGAAAAAGGAAUUCCAAUAGUGCCUAAUUUAUUUCUCGACAUAGAAGUUUUGCUAGCGAUGGAGGAUUUUUUCAAUAUAUUAUUAUAAUUACCAAAUAAUUUAUUUAAUAUAAUUUAAAAAAUUAAAUAAGAACUAUUUAAGUAACUAGUAUAUUUGAUUUAGUAAUUAUAUACUUUAUUAAGUUUUAGAUUUUAUUUUGGUUGGGGAUAUUUCCACCCUAUUAUUGUAGCAAAUCUACCCACUCCUAAAAAAUAGUUACAGUGAGUUCAUAAUAUUUUUUAAAAAUACAAAUCAAUAAAAGUGUUGUACAGUCAAUUAAUUAAAUCUUUCUAUUGAUUUUCUUCUUAAGUUUCUUUGACCAUAUUUGAUUAUAAAGCUUAAUGUAAAUUUCAUUUUACUAUUUUACUAUCUUGAUCUAAAACAACCAAGUUGCCACAAUAAACAUGACUCAUUGUAUCUAAUAAUUAAGGUAUUUAAUUUUGUGACUUAUAAUCUAAUAAUUUUAAAUGAAAUAUAAUUAUCAUUUUCACUAUCCUUACAUGUAAAUAAUAUAAAUUUGAAAGCCCAAUAGUUUACAUGAGUAUUGUGCAAUAAAGACUUAUGUUACUGUAAUUAAAGUUUAAUAAUCAUGCUAAAGUAGUAUUAAUUGGAAACAAGGAGGUUAGUAUAAAAUUAGAAAAUUAUUAAAGUUAAAGUAAAUUCUUAGUGGUUUUAUCUCAUAAGAAUAAAAUAGUAAAAAAGUUAUGCCAAAAUUUUUUUGUAAUUAAAUAUAAUUAAAAACCUAAGUCAUAAAAAAGUAAAUUUAAGAUAGAUUUAAUAAAUCAAUUCUCCAAAUUUCUUCUUUACUUAAAAAUUUGUUGAAAAUAAUAUGCACUUUUUGUAAUUAUGUUUGAAAAUGAGAUGAGUUUACAAAAACUAUGAUGGAGAUACCAUCAGUCUUUAAUUUUAGGAUUAAUUAAUCCGCCCCCCCCCCCCCCCCAAACCUUUCAAAAUUUUCUGUUGUGCUCCAAUUGUUUCAGCUUCUUCCACUGCGCACCCAAAAUUGUCGGUUUGGUUGUUAUCUUUGACAUUUUAAGUGUAAAAUGUGAAAAUUCAAUUAUAAAAACUAAUGAACCCAAUACAUUUCUUUUUUUUUUUUUUUCCUUUUCACGGUGGAAUUAACCUUUUAUUUUAAUACAAAUUUUUAUCAAAAGCUUUUACAUUACAGUUUAUGUAUUUACCAAAUACCUAUCAGCUUUAAUUUAAUAACUGUAACUUUUAUCUCAAUAAAAUUAUUUCAUACCUUUUAUUUCAAUACUUAGCAGAGCGUAUAUUUAGUAUUGUCCUAUCUUUUGUUUGGCAAGUAUAAGAUUGGACUAGAUUACAAAUGUUUUAGUAGUAGUAGUAGUAGUAGUAAUAAUAAUAAUAAUAAUAAUAAUAAAUAAAUAAAUAACCAUUAUUAAGAAUAUUUAACUAUUACAUUUUUCACUAUUGAAAAUAAUUAUAUUUUUUAUUAAGAAUUUCAAUGAUAUUAUUAUUUUAAUCAAUAAUUAUUAAAUUAAUUUAUUAAUAAGAAAUGGAAAUAUUUUUAUUGAGUAAAUUCAAAAAAGGUUUUUUUUUUUAAAUAUUUGAGUUAUCCUAAUUUAUAUCAUGGGGGACAAUGGGAUAAAUUUUUCUCUUAAUAAUACAUGGGUAUUCAUUGAUCACUUGAUGCUUUGCAUUUUAUCAAUAAACUAAAAAACAGAACCGCGCUUCACGCGGCUUUGAAAAAAGAAUUUAGUAUUUUUUUUUCUUACUUUACACUUGAUGAAACUGAUAAAAAAUAUGAAUUGAUUUUUUUUAAGAUGAGGCAGCCUUAUAAAAAACAAAAAAAGUUAUUAGCCAGCAAUAUAAAUAAAAAAGCAACACAAGAUAAAGAAUAAAAUGAGAGAAUAUAUUAUAGAGUGAUUUUAUUUAUUCCAAUUGUGUGUGUACAAAACAAAAAGAUGAGCUCUCCUUUUAUAGUUAUAUAAUCACUCCAUGAAAUUAAUGAAAAAUUAUGGAUCAUAAUUCCUUGUGAGAUAGUGGGAGUUAUAGGGAAACUAAAAGUUGCUAAUGAGAGAUAGUGGGGAGACUAAGAAGUAUAUGUUAUGAACAUCUACAUUUAUUUUAAUAAAUUUAUAACACUCUCCCUUAAAUGUUCAUUACAAAGAAUAUGCCUCAUUAAAACCUUUACAUAAUUGUUAUUAUGUAAUAACAAUCAAAAUUAAUUAUGAGAAGAUGAAAAGUUGAAUCUAAAAGAAAAUUUCUCUAUUUAUUAGAUAAUAGAGAAUAUACAAAGAUGAGAAAUGGUGAUGCCACAUCACCUUUUCAAGUCCCAACUAUAUAUAUAUAUAUAUAUAUAUAUAUAUAUAUAGAUAUAGAUACACAAAAACAUUUUUUCUUUUACAGCUAUCCAUCAGAAUUUUAUAAAGUGUAUUACUUUUUUACUUCAUUAACGCCAUUAGAGAUUUAGCAAAAUAUUAACAAAAUGACUAUUUUCCUACUACUCAUAAAACGACUAUUUAAUUCUAGCUAAAUAACAAAAAACAGAUUUUAUUUUGUAGUUGUUAGACCAAUAAUACUACAAAUUAAUUAAAUUAGUUAUAUAAACUCAUGAAACCGAUUAAUUUAAAUAUAUAAGAUCACCUAAACAAGUACCUUAAUUAAUCUGUAGCUCAUUUACAACAUAAAUUAAGAACAAUUUCUCAUAUAAUCCAUCCUAAGUAACAUAUUUUCGAUAAUAAUAACAAAUCUUAACCAAUAAUAAAUCAGCAAAAGAAACAAUUAUAAAUAUUCAAAAUAUGUACAUUGAAAAUAACCAAAAAAAUAAUUAUGGGAAACUUUGAACAUUACAAUGUGUUCCUAUCAACAAAAAAUUACAACAUAAAAUAAGUUAUGGGGAACUUAGAGUUUGCAUUUUGUUCCCAUCAUUCCAAAAUAACAAUACAUUACAAAAGCAUCCAAAAUCACAACCAAUAAAUAAUCUUUUUACAUUUAAUGGAAAAAUGAUCAUUUUAGAAUUUUUCUGUAAAAUUCUCUAACUAUGUUAAAAGAAAAUUGAAAGUGUGACACACAUUGUAAACUUAAAGUGGAAAGUUGGAAAAUAAAAAAAAAUUAGGGUAUUUUUGAUAAUAUUUGAAACACUAAGUUGUACAUGGAUGUUUCCCCGAAAGAUAUUAAACGGAGAAUCCUUCAAAAUGCAUGACUAGAUAUAAUAUAAUCCAAUUAAAUGUUCUUAUCAUGUAACCAAACGAGCUGUAAAUAUAAGAACACGCAAAUUGAUUCAUAUUAGAGUAAUUAUUUAUCCUUUAAAAAACGUGAAGUUCUUUGUUUUGAUUUAAAGAAUGUCUAAAACAAUGUGAAUGUGUUAGGAAUUACUUACCAUUUAGAAGUUUUCACAACAAUUAGAACAACAAUCUCUGCACAAAUCUAUCUAUAUAAUACAGGGAAAUGGAGUCAGGGACAAUCAUUGACAUCAUAAAACUUGUAGGACCUUGUAAGUACCGGAACUAUCACAGAAAACUUAAGAUAAUUUUGGGUACGCUUGAAAGCAAGAAAGUAGAUCUGAAUUCCCUCAAGGAAGAUGUGGAGUCAAGAUUGAGUGCAGAGUGUCAUUUUGGAAAAACACCAAAGAAAGAAGUUGAAAAUUGGUUAAAAAAAGCAGAGAAAAUGAGUAGUGAGGUACAAAGUCUAGAAGAUAAAUCCAAUAAAUACAGAUAUGUAUCUCGUAGGAAACUUAUUGACGAGAAGAUCAAGGAACUAAUUGAUGUUUAUGAUCAAGGUAGUUUUCCUACUAGUUUGGUAAUUGAUCCGCCUUCAAAUGUUGGGUCAAAUGUUGGGCAGCUGAUACCAACGCAAGAACUGGUCGGUGAAGCUAAUGUCAAAGAAAAAGUUUGGGGACACUUGAUGGGUGGCACAAUAUGCAAGAUUGGAAUUUGUGGGAUGGGCGGGAUAGGAAAGACAACGAUCGUGAAGCAUGUCCACAACGAGCUCUUGAAGGAAACCAAGUUUGAUACAGUACUUUGGGUGACUGUAUCCUAAGAAUUUGAUGUCGAGAAAAUAGAAGGAGACAUUGCAUCUGCUUUGAAAGAAAGUCUAUUAGCCAGGGAUAAAACCAUGCGGGCGGCACAUUUGUCAAUGGUGUUGGAAGAGAGAAAGAGAUAUGUGUUGGUUUUGGAUGAUGUGUGUGUUGAAAAGUCUAAGUCAAAUUCAUGUGGUGGCAACACUCUUUGCACACGGUUUGGACGCGUUUUGAACAUGAUUUUUUUCUUGAUAUUUGUUUCAUGAAUAGUGCCAACAUUUUUUCUAUAAAUAGCUAAGCAUUCUUCAUUUGUUUAGCAUCCAAAAAUUGUUAAGCUUAUAAGUUUCUAAACUUUUGAGAGAAGUAAGAGAAGUGUGUCUAAGAAAUUUAUCUUUCCUGUAGAGUGUGAGAGUACUGUGUAUAUUUGGGUUUCUGAAAGUGAGAUUUGUUACUCAAAUAUUUGUACUCUAUUAAUUGUUAAAUAAACAAUUAUUCCCUUUUACCUCCAUGGAUGUAGGUUUAAUUACCGAACCACGUAAUUCUUGUGUCCUUUAUUUUUUAGUAAUUUUUUAGCGCGCUUGAUUUCGCAUUCCGCGCACAACAGUAUGGAAGAUAUUUUCCCUUGAUGAGGUUGGAAUCCCUGAGCCAACUUUAGACAAUGGGUUACAGUUGUGUAUGUCUCUCCCCACUGUUGUUUAUCUGCAAAUUAGAAGAAAAGUAUAAUCAGUUCAAGCACCAAAUGGUCUCUAGCUGGCUUACAGCUGCUACCCAAGAUAAAAAAGAAAACAACACAUUAGAGGAUUAAUAAUUUAUCCAAAAAUGGAAAAUUGCCCUUCGUCGAAAGAUAUCCCCCCUAGGCCAGCCUACAAAACAAGUACGUGUCAAAAUAUAUUAGUCUAGAUAAAUCAAAAGCUAAGUAGAGACCAUAAGGAAAAAGGAAUAAGGUCAUGUUGAACAAAAGUCUGUUAUGUCUUGGUUCUAAUGAUGUGAUGUAAUUUGCUCACACUUCUUUUGUCAUAGAGGUAGAAGAAAAACUGAUAAGGGGCAGAGUAUUCUGAGUCUUCACUAUAUGCCAUUGCAACAGCUCCAUAUACUGAUAAAGGAAGAAUCGACAAUUCUCCAUCCUUUCCAGUUAAAAUUAAAGAAUAAGAAUAGAUAAGGGAAGAUAAUGUAUCGUGAGAUAAAGUUUUUUGUUUUAUUUUGUUUUUUGUUUUUUUUCCUAUGAAACGAGGAAGAUAGUGUAUUUCUAACUGCAUCAAAACGUGCAAUUUAUACCUGCACAUUUAAGGCUGUUCUGUACAAUGGCUCAAAUUGCCCUGAUGGCAUUAUUUCCAAAGGCAAAUUGUAGCCACUGUUCUUAUCAAGACCUUUUUCUGUCAGAACAGCUUGGUAACAGCUUGGUUUCCACAAUUUAGCCUUGUCCCAUCAUAUGCUCCAUCAAUCACCUGAAAGUUUUUUGAAUGGUUUCAUUUGUUUUAUCAAGAGAGUACACAUACUCCUGUAAUUCUAAACACAUAAAUUAUAUAAAAAAAAGUAUGUGGACUGUUUGUUUUGAACAUUCCAUGCAGUGUACUAGUGUAGGGUAUCCAUAUAAUUAGUUCUUUGCUUCAUUCUUAGUCGACAUGUCAAGGAAGCUCAUGUGAGCCAAAUAGUCAGCAAAGCAGAGGAUUAUAGCAGCAGCAGCUCACAGCUACAAGUUGAUGACUUGGCAUGCCAGCUAGCACCUGGUGGUUAUUUAGUCUCUUGUACUCGUGACUGUUAGUUACAGUUAGUUAAUAAGCUGCUGCAUGAUUAGCAUGUGUGAUUAGUUAAGCUAAGUUUGUUGAUUAGUUACACGAGUAUAUAAAGUAAAGUAUGUACAUUUCCUCUGUAAUCUUGUUGAAAAGAAAUAAAAAUAAUUCGCAGAUUCCUAUCAUUUUCUCUCAAUAUUUCUUAGUUUCCAAACAAGAUGAUUUCUUACUCGACAUGACGAUACACUUGGUUUGGAUUCAAUACCAAAAUGCAAGAUUAGCCUUUUCUUCAACAAAAUCUAUGAAGAGAUUAGAGAAUUUGCUUUCUGAUAUUACAAUUCUCUGUAGUUCUCAUCUUUGGUUUCUCACUUCAUCCAAGAAAGGUCAAAAAGGAAUUAGCUAGCCCAGUUACUCCAGCAAAUUGAAGUAAUUUUGGUGGAAUAUUUAGUAUCUGCUCUCUCUCUGCUCAUUGUUUUAAUUAAUUUAUUAACAACAUUAUAUGUGUAAUCUCUUUGUCAGAAUCAUUGAUCAAAAAGCCUAAGACAUGGAGGCCAUUUGGAUUAAUUCUCUUUAAAGUAGAACUAGAAAUCAGCCCAGGUACCUUAUACAUUAUUAUUAUUAUUAUUAUUAUUAUUAUUUUUCAUGUUAGUUUUUAGACUGAACGCAAGUACACAUGUACACUAGUAUAUAUAUAUAUAUAUAUAUGGAGCCCCCUACGUUACGUUAAUCGUAAGUACAUCCACACACAGCAACAGUACCCAUGGUGGGACCCACUAUUAUUGCUGUGUGUGGUGUACGUUACGUUAAAUGUAACGUAGCAUUGGCCUAUAUAUAUAUAUAUGACAUUCUGUCUUGUACACAAUUUAGGUAGCGUUUACAUUUUAUAUUAGAGUGAGAAACUUAGAUUGGGAGUAUGAAGUGAGAGUAAGAGUAUGUUGUUUACUUACACUAGAAUAAGGGUAUGGAAUCAAAAUCACAAUUCAAUUUAUGUGUUUACUUUAUCUUGAAUUUAGAGUAAAUGGAUUCAAAUUAUAAUCUUACCAUUAUUUAAAGAAUUAUAAUUUUUAAUUACAAUAUCAAUAAAAAAAUAUAUUCAAAAAUAAAAUAUUCAUUUUAUUAUAUUUGUAAAUUAAUAAUUAUUUUUAAUAUUCUUAAUAGUGUAAAUUAAUAUUUUUUUAUUCAUUUUAAUUUUAAUUAUGUAAAUUAAAAAUAAUUAAUAAAAGCAACACAAAUUAAACAUUAUUAUUAAUAAUAUAGUACAACAUUUUUCUUGGAAUAAACUUUUAUUGCUAUUAAUUAUUAAUAUUAAAUAAAUAUAAUAAUAUUAUUUUUAAAUAAAUAUAGUAAUAUUAUUUUUCAAAUAAAAAUAGUAUAUAGUUAUAUUAUUAAUUCUUUAUUAAUAUAAUAAUAUUAUUUUUUAAGAAAUUUUAAUUGAGGACCAAUUUAAAUUAUUGUUUUUAACUAAUAAUAAUAGUAUAUUUAAAUAAGGUUAUUAUUAUUUUUAAUAAAUGUAAUGUACAAAAUAAUAUUAUUGAAAUAAAUAUGAUAUUAUUUAUUUUAUUUAUUAAAUAUAAUUAUAUUAAAUUUAAUAAAAUAAGGGAAAAGAAGAGGUGGGGUGGAUUCACACUCCCACCUCCCCCCAUUCCCACUCCCUACUUAAAAAAUGGGUGGGGUUGAUGGAAUGAGAUUCUCAUUCCUCCUUAAAAUAAAUGAGUAAAUAAUGGAGUAGGAGGAAUACACACUCCUCACUCCCAAGUAAGUAAAUAUAGUAUUAGUUCAGCCAACCUUCUUUAUAAGUUUUAUAAUUCCUGUUGCACAUAAAAGUAAUAGCAAGAAAAAUUGGUUUAUAUUAGAAUAAUUUUUUUCCGGAAAGAAAUGAGAAAAGUUGUUUUUAUUAUUAAAAGAGAUAUUCACUUCAAUUAAAACAUUUAUCUCAUGCUCAGAUCUAACUAUAUAAUAUAGUUAAAUGGAGCCAGGGAUAGUCAUCGAAAUAAUAAACUUUGUAGAGGGUCCAAUUUGAAAUACUGAAACUAUCACAGAAAACUUAGGAUACUGUUGGAAAUUCUUAAAAGCCAUAAGGAAAACCUAAAUUGUCGUAUGAAGAUGUCAAGUUAAAAUUGAGUGCAGAGUGUAAUUCUGGAAAAACACCAAAGAAAAAUGUUGAAAAAUGGUUCGAUUAGAUGGUCCCAGUAAAUGCAGAUAUGUAUCUGUGCUUGUCGGGGGAAACUUAUUGACAAGAAGAUCAAGGAACUAAUUGAAAUUUAUGAUCAAGAUAAUUUUGCUACUAGUUUGGCAAUUGAUCCUUCUUCAAAUGUCGGGUCAAAUGUUGGGCAGCUGAUACUAACGCAAGAACUAGUAGAUGAAGCUACCAUCAAAGAAAAAGUUUCGGGACACUGGACAUGUAAUAAAUGAUUUAGUUGGAUUUUAGGUCAACCCAAUUAAAACAAUAAAAUAAUAAAAAGGGGGACAAAUGUUAGAGGCUGCCUUGUUAUGUUUCAACUUUGAAGUGUUCAGCUGCAAGAUGGAGGAUGUUAGCUGGGUGAGGUGAGUGUUUGAUAAAUAGGGGAAGGAGAUGAGAUGAAAAUGAAGAUGAAGUUCAUUUAACUCAAGCUGAAUGAGUAGCCAAAAUUGAUGUUAGAGGUGGAGCUAGCGGUGGUCAGCGAUUCUACUCUGACACUCAAGUUAGAUUUUAAGUGAUAAGUGGCGGCUUCAAGGUCAAAUUGACUUUGAAGUUAUCAAUAACGUAAAUAUACUCUGAAAAAAAAUAUCAAUGAGAAAUUUUUUUGAGUGAGUGGAAGUUAGUUAUAGUUAGGAAUUAGGAGCAAUCCUUGAGCUUAUGUGAUGUGUGCCUCAGGCGUUUUUUUUUUUAUAGUAAUUUUAGACACAUGGUGCUUAGUUAAUGGUUUGGGGGGGGUGUAAAGAAACCAUUAGCCACCCUUUUACUUCUAAUAUUGUGCACGUGGCAACCUCUCUAGUUGAUGGUCCUGCUGCUUUUUGGGGCACUACAUAAGGAAGCUGACAUGGCAUUUUCCCAUUGCUCAACAAAGGAAUCUCCUUUGCCAUUGGCAUUUUUUGAUUUCUCUCAUAAUGGCGUGCAUUAUUCAUGUUCGGCCUCUAACCAUAAAAAAUUUGGGUUUUAAGAAUGCAUGUUUUAACGAAACUACCCUUUAUAUCAGGGAGCUUAUCUCCGAAUCCCUAUGAGCUACCCUAAUGAUGCGGUCAAACGAAACAAUUUUACUUGGUUGACUCCUCUUGACACAUGUCAUUGUGUUAUUAGUCCAUGUUUCCACCUAUAUUUCCUCCCAAACAAUAGAGUAUUUAUCGUUGUAAUAAAAAGGAUGCCUGUCUUGCUUCCCCAUCUUCUGAACGGCCAACCAUUAAAUCCUAGCUCCUUUACGAUCAAAGCUGACUGGGAAUGCUGGACUGCACUGGAGUGGGAUGAUCCCAACACUAAGAGCCUCCUUACGCCCUUCUAUAAAGAAAAGCUAUAUUUCCUUAUUGGAUGAGUUCUGAGCAACUCCGAUAAGUUCUUCCAUACUUCAUUUGUUUAAGAAUUUCUUUGUUUAUUUUUUUAAUUUCUACAUUUUUUAUGUUAAAAAACAAAAAAAUAAAAAAAGUACAGCUUCUUGCACUCUUGUUCUUAUGAUUAACGAAAUGUCACCAUGCCAAAGCAAUUUGCAAAAGUGAGUUCAUGGAAGGAACAACAAUGCAGAAGCAAAUGAAACGAAUCGAGGUUUUGAUUUCUAAAGUGAAGUUUGCAUGUGAUUUGCUUUAUGUUAAAAAGUCAAAGAAUGGCUUACAAAUUUCAAAAGACAAAGUUGGUGGGCUUGCCAAUUUCAAAAGGCAAGGUUAGCGGCACGGUUUUGUUAAAGUUGCAUAGAGGAAAAAUGUGAUGGUUUUUAGAAGCCAAUUGAUUUUUUCAAAAUUGUUGAUUUUGUUGCCCACCAAAUUGAUUUUUCAUUCUAAAUUCAAUUUGUCAAUUUGGCAAGUUGUAGCCAAAUUGAAAGUGGUAGGUGAGCUACGGUUCGUAUAAAUAGAAGGGACAUUGUUCAUUUGUAAUCAUCCUAAAUUGUUAAUCUUAUAAGUUUCUAAGCUUUUGAGAGAAGUGAGAGAAGUGUCUGGGAAAUUUAUCUUUCCAGCAAAGUGUGAGAGUAUUGGGUAUAUUUGGGUUUCUGGAAAAUGAGAUUCUUUACUCCAAUAUUUGUACUUUAUUAAUUGUUAAAUAAGCAAUUAUUCUUUCUUGCCUCCAUGGAUAUAGGUUUAAUUAUCGAACCACGUUAAAUUUUUGUGUCCUUUAUUUUUCUAUAAUUAUUUGGUGUGCUUGAUUCCGCAUUCCGCGCACAACACUUUAUAAUAAUUUGUAUAGUACACUAACAAGAUAAUUGCUUUCUGUUUCUUAUUUCUCACGAUAAAGUGCAUAGUAAUUCGUUAAUUAUCUAGUUAUUGUGUAAUAAUAAUACAUGUAAGCUUCCUUUAUACAUUACAAGGAAACAUGUAUAAUCUUUUCAACUACUGGUCACACUCUCUUACUCGCAUAAAUAAAUGGUUUUUAUGGCAUCCAUUUUUUAUUUUGCUGUAAAUUGUGCCUUAUUUGGCAAAACUGGUGGCUUUAAAAUGUUAGUUCUUGACGGCAUACAAACCAUGAAACAGGCCUACGGCAAUGGAAAUGUUAAUUGAUUUUUAUUCUUUCAAUAUGUAACUGAGAAGGGGUAGAGUACUCCUCCGAGUGUUCACCACUUCACCUGUGUGUCACAGCAACAGAUCCACGUACUGAUAGAGGAGGAACCAACAAUAUAUCCAAUUAAUGAAUCAGAAUAGUUAAGACGAUGUGUUGUUUACUGCAUUUAUGCAAUAUGCACCUGCUCCUUUAAGGCUAUUCUAUUCUGUACAUUGGCUCAAAAAUUGGCUUGAUGGAGGAAGAAUGGCUCAAAAAUUGACUGUUGAGACUUUUCAUUUGUUUAAAUAAAAGCCACUGCAAUCUUCUGUAUGAAGCACUGCUUGAAACUAAAAGUGAUAUUCAGUUAAUGGUGCUGCUGAACAUUCAUCUGGAUGAAUCAAUGGACUGAGAAUUGAAUGAAUAGAAUCAAUUAGCAGUCAAGUAGUAACAAACAAUAUUACCGUAACACAAUGAGAAGAGUAGUAAUUGUGAUGCGAGAUUCUGGUUACACUCUGCCUACGACCAGGAAAUCUGCUCCACCAACCUCACCUCGAUCAGGAUCUCUCCUCGUACGCUUUCUUCUCUAGGUGUUCCUGCGUCCACAGAAACAAGUCAGAGCACGCCGGUUGUUUUUCCGGCGUAAACCCUCCGACGCUCAAGUCAGAUAUGAAGGUCCCGGGAACGCUUGCCACGAAUCUUAUGGCUUUUCUGUAAUCUCCUUUCUUUAGAGUUUUCUUUUCUUAGUUCUAAAUAGCAAAAAUUCUAACCCUUUUACCUUCGUUGGCUACCUUUUUAUAGGCUUCCUCUGAAUCCCGGUCUUCCGUAGUCCACGCCCAUUAUUCUGCCCACCCUCGGAUGUGGAUGCCCCAACGUCGUCAUUGUGGGCGAAUGGAGAUGGACUUCAUGCCUUGAUUCUCGGAUAGGAACGCACGUCCUGCUAACUGUCGUUGACUGGGUCUCCUCGCCUCGACCCCUAGCAGGAAUGGCCUUAUGCCUUUAACAGGAGUUCGUCCUCGUGGAUGGCAUAUUCGUGGACGAGCAGAAUAGCCCUGCUCCUAUUCCCCUGCUACCAGGCUCUUACAGGACACACCUGCUCGCAGGACUCUGCCACCAACUAUCUGCUCGUCACUUCUGGUCUCGCCGAAGUAUUUCCCUCAAACACCGGUCCCCCAGUUUCUGGUGUUGGGUAAUGUAAUGGACCAGCAGUAGAAACUCAACGGUUUUUGCUCGCGUGGGAUUGGAAAAGGCUGCCAAGAGUCGUGUCGUAUUUAAUUGCGGAUGCGGUGAUGUGGCAGAAAUCUACCCCUCCAUUUGAAUUUCAAACCUACGGUUGCAAGAUUCUCGGAAUAUGCGUCAUUAAAUGCUGGCAGCCCAAGAGUUUGCUUCUCAGUAAGAAAACCCAAAAUCUUCAAACACGAACUCGUCAUUUUCUCCAUUCUUGUCUCUCCGGCGAAUGAACCUCGGCAUUAAAGCUGUCAUCCCUGUCUCUCUCUGACCGAGUCCCUGCUUCAGGUAUUUCUUCUAUUUUCUCGGUCUUGGUUGGUUGUAGAUAAUUUCUUUUCUCUUUGCUUUGCUUGGGGUAGUAGUUGGCGGUGGCGUUUUGGUUAUUAUUUAGGGAAUGUCGAAGGGUAAGGAGAAAGUCAUCGAGAUUGAUGACAACGAAAUAGGUUUCUUGCCUAAUCUGCUCACUGAUCCUGCUUUUGACCCCGGGAUCCCCUUAGAACCCAUUAGGUCUAGUGUCGGGACUAGUGCUAGGAGAUUGUCCCCCCAAACAACCUCCACGAGUGGAAGUAAUGAUGAGGAGAGAUCUUCUGGCUCUAAAGGCACCUUGAGUGAGAAUGGGGAAAGUGAUUCUGAUGAGGUGUCUCCAUCUGGAACAUCACGACCAGAAGAACGGGGUACAGUAGGGGGUAGAGCCUUGUCGCGUGAUUAUGCCAUUGAUUACAUGUCGUGCACGACCACGUUUGACGAGCUCAAUGACCUCCGACUUAGGUAUAGUAUUCCUGGUGAGAUACCUCUUAAGAUCCCAGGAAAGAAGGAUACACCUAGCCGGCCUCCUAGGGGGUACGUUACCCUGUUUCUGGAGAGUUUUAAGUAUGGGCUGAGGUGUCCCUUGCAGCUUUACUUUGCCCGGAUACUUAACGGGCUAAAUCUGGCUCCUGGUCAGCUGAACCCCAAUGGGUGGAGAGUGCUCUCUGGUCUGUUCAUAUUGUGGGACAGAUGUUGCCAAAGCGAGCCCACGGUUGAUGAGGUGAUGCACCUGUACCAGCUGAAGAGCAGCCCUAAAGAUGCCGGCUGGUACUACUUCCAAUCUAGUACCAAGAGCAGGAAACCCAUAACUGAUCUUCCAACUGGUGGUGGUGGGACUUGGAAGAGGAAAUUCUUUUUUGCUGGGGGUCCUUGGGGUCAAGUUGCACAAAUAGACGGGAAGGAUUGUCGCGUCCCACCCCGUUUCACGGUCCCAGGUUGCAUGCUCGCUUUAGAUGUCUUGUAUCCAUAAUUGUUCUUGCUGUAUUGGUUUGUCUCUAACCAAGUGUCUGUUUGUACUGUAGUUUCUUGUGGUGUUCAUUUCUCGCUCAAGCCUGGUCAGCUCAAACGGGUCAAGGCUGUACUAGCCAACUCCUGCCCGAGCCGAGAACUGAUAACUAUUUACAACUUGCUCGAGUCUCGCUUGGUACUACCUGAUCAUAAGAUGGAGGAUGCUGUGAUUGGGGCUCUGAACAGGAAACGUUCUCGACCUCAAACCACGAAGAGGGACCAGAAUAAGGACGCCCCUACUGCAAAGCGGGCCAACAUCGUGCAGCAGGUUUCUCCCUUGAAGACUUUACCUCCUGCUCCUGCCAAAGUCGGGGAAACUAGUGGAGCGGCCACUGAUCCUGCUUCCUCUUCUCCUCCUGUCGGGCCUCGGUCUCGCUUACCUGACAGCCGAGCAGAACACAUGGUCCCCUAUCUCAAUGAGUUAUCUAAACUCGUGAGCAAGAAGGAUCUGGAGGACUUUGAUGGCUGCACCAUGGGCGAGCUGGUGGGGGCCAUGCAGUAUAGCGCCUUCCACCUCAGCUGCAUGACCACCUACUAUAAGGCCAAGGUUGGCCGUUACGACCGGAGGAUGAAAGAGGACAUUCAAUCGGCGACGACCAGAGCCGAUGCUGCCGAGAAGAAAGCGGGAGACUUGAAUCUCGAGAAUCUAAAGUUGAUAGAGCAGGAAUCUCUUGCUCAAGCAAAGGCCAUUACUCUCGAGGAAGAGCUGACUAAGGUCAAGGAGGAUCUGCAAAGGCAGAAAGCUAUGUACGAGGCUCAGCUCGAAUCCCUCCGCGAUUCCCAUCGGGUUCAGGUCGAGAACUUGGAGAAGGAGGCUGACAACCAGUACGACCAGGGACUUCGGCAUUCCUAUCGCUGCAUCAUGGCCGUCCUCGGGAAGCAGCAUCCUGAUCUAAAGAUGGACGACCUUGCAGCUGGUGUCGCCCAACAUAUGGACGAGGAGGCUGCAAAGGAGGAUGCCGAAGAGGCGGCGCCAAUGGUGAUAGAGGAGGAAAACUCUCCUCUCCGUGUAAUCCCUGCUGAUGCUGGUGAGGCGAGUACCCCCCCAGACGCAACUGGAGAUACUCCCCCAGCACCUGAGGUGGACCAGCUGACUGAGGCUGCUCGGCUUGCGGACCCACCGUCUUCUUAAACAUGUUUCUUGUAUUGUAACGAACAAUGUUUGUGAAGAUUAUCUGCUUUGUUAAUUAUUAACAAAUUAAUAGAAAUGUUUUUUAUUACUCUCUUGUGUUGUAAUUACGAGUUAUUUUUCCGCUUGAGAGUCUGCUCGUCUUCGUCUGGUCGAGCUGGCUCUAGCUUGGUAGAUGGUUUUGCCACAUGCCUUGGAAGAUUCUUCAAUGUUUGGGAUUCUGCUCGCCUUUGCGCGGUCGAGCAGAUCCUGGCACACUUGGCUUCUGUCUCGCCAUAAAACAGGCUUUGAGACUUGAUGAGCCAUUGCAUGCCUUAGAAGAUAUUUCGAUGAUUGGGGAUUCUGCUCGCCUUCGUGUGGUCGAGCAGAUCCUGGCACACUUGGCUUCUGUCUCGCCAUAAAACAGGUUUUGAGACUUGAUGAGCCUUUGCAUGCCUUAGAGGAUAUUUCGAUGAUUGGGGAUUCUGCUCGCCUUCGCGCGGUCGAGCAGAUCCUGGCAUGCUUGGCUUCUGUCUCGCCAUAAACAGGCUUUGAGACUUGGUGAGCCUUUGCAUGCCUUAGAGGAUAUUUCGAUGAUUGGGGAUUCUGCUCGCCUUCAUGCGAUCGAGCAGAUCCUGGCAUGCUUGGCUUCUGUCUCACCAUAAAACAGGUUUUGAGACUUUGUCGAGCCUUUGCAUGCCUUAGUGACUUCUUUGAUGCUUGGGGAUUCUGCUCGCCUUCACGCGGCCGAGCAGAUCCUGGCAUGCUUGGCUUCUGUCUCGCCAUAAACAGGCUUUGAGACUUGGUGAGCCUUUGCAUGCCUUAGAGGAUAUUUCGAUGAUUGGGGAUUCUGCUCGCCUUCAUGCGGUCGAGCAGAUCCUGGCAUGCUUGGCUUCUGUCUCGCCAUAAAACAGGCUUUGAGACUUUGUCGAGCCUUUGCAUGCCUUAGUGACUUCUUCGAUGCUUGGGGAUUCUGCUCGCCUUCACGCGGCCGAGCAGAUCCUGGCAUGCUUGGCUUUUGUCUCGCCAUAAAACAGGCUUUGAGACUUUGUCGAGCCUUUACAUGCCUUAGGUAAUUUCUUCAAAGCUUGGGAUUCUGCUAGCCUUCUCGCGGCCGAGCAGAUCCUGGCAUGCUUGGCUUCUGUCUCGCCAUAAAACAGGCUUUGAGACUUUGUCGAGCCUUUGCAUGCCUUAGUGACUUCUUCGAUGCUUGGGGAUUCAGCUCGCCUUCACGUGGUCGAGCAGAUCCUGGCAUGCUUGGCUUCUGUCUCGCCAUAAAACAGGCUUUGAGACGUUGUCGAGCCUUUGCAUGCCUUAGAAGAUUUAUCACAGUUUCAAGUGACUGACAUUCCUCGACGUUCCAUUAAUUGCAGGUUUUGAUUUUACAUGAACUUGCUUUGGACAUAAAAUAAAUAACCGCAAAUACGAACAGAAAGAACUUGAAAAUAUUAACAACUCUUACUGGAAAUAUUUCCUGAGAUCUACUGCGUUCCAUGGGCGCUUCACCUCGUGGCCAUCCAUGCGGACCAACCUGUAGGCUCCUGGUCCAACUAGCUGCCUGACUCUAUAUGGCCCCCCCCAAUUUGGACCGAGCAUUCCUUGAGUCGAGUCUUUUGUGUUCUGAUUUACUCUCCUUAACACCCAAUCUCCAACCUUGAACUGCCAUACAUUCACGUCCUAGUUAUAAUACCGAGCAACCCUCUGCCGGUAAAUGGCUGAUCGCUUGGCUGCUUGAUCCCUCUUUUCCGUUAGUAGAUCAAGAUUCAAUACCGAGCAUAUCUGCAUGAGCCUGUAAGCAUUUCACUAACUCCUGGUUCUGCUCUUCCUUAUGUUUCGACCCGAUUCUGAUCGUCGUUCCCGGAUUCUCUAGUCCCACGCUUACUGUCUCCAGCUCCUCUACAGGUUCUUGUCUGCCCUUCUUGCUUUCCACUUGGGUGUUAAGGGAUGUUAUCUGCAUUGCCUCCUUUGCUGCCGAGGAGUAGCAGCUUCUGGCGAUUCUCUGGUCCCCUCGUACCACACCAACUACCCCGUUCACCCGGUACUUGAGAGCCAGAUAAUGGAUGGACAAUACCGCUUUGCUCAUCCUUAGAAACGGCCGACCUAGGAUCAUCUGGUAAGGACCUUCUUCAUCCACCACCACAAAGUCCAGUAUCAUUGUCCUUUCCGUCGGGGAGCUCCCAAUCGUGAUAGGCAGCUCGACCACGCGAAGAGGGACCAGCUUUCCCCCUCCGAACCCCUUUAAGGAGGUAUUGGUGUAUUCCAACUUCCGGUCUGCUAUUCCCAUCUCCUCCAAAGUUGACUUAAAUAGCACAUCAAUUGAGCUCCAUGUAUCAAUCAAUAUCCGGUCAAACUUCUUACUAGAGACCGUAGCCUUGAUGACCAAAGCAUCCUCGUGGGGGUAUAGAAUCCAUUUCUCGUCUUCAUCCGUCCACAUGAUUGGCACUUGCCUGACCCUUGCUCGUUUGGCUGCUGGGGUGUUGAAGAAUACCUCUUUGCUGGUCAUGGCGUAUCUAGCAUAAUUCUUCCUCGACCUGUUGGAAUCUCCGGCCAAUGUCGGGCCCCCAGCUAUCACCCUUACUGCAGGCUGCUCGCGCUUCAAGCUCCUGUCACUCUGCUCCCCUUCACUUGUUGAGGCUACCAUUGGGAAGGUCCCAUCUAUAAACUCGUUCAGAUAGCGAUUUCUCACCAAAUCUUCAACCUGGGUCUUGAGAUCUUUGCAGUCUGUUGUGGUGUGGCCAUGAGUGCCAUGGAACUUACAAUAGCGUCUCAUAUCUCUCUUGCCGGGUAGCUUUGUUAUUGGGGCAGGGAGGUACAGCAAUCCUCGGUCCUUUAUGGCCUCGUACACCUCAUCCAGGGACAUCUUCAAUGAAGUAUACCGCCCGUAGUCCUGGUUCUGGUCGAUCAGGUGUACUGCCCUUUCUCUAUUUGCUCCGUUUUGAGUUGGGGGUAGUGGCAGCACUUCUGGUCUGCUCCCUCUACUGCCGUGGGAGUGUUGAUGAAGACCACCAUAUGUCGAAUCAUGCCUUCUCCAAGGCUCCCUAGCUGGGGAACGAGGAGGCUGCGCCCUGCUGCGCUGAUAUUGUGGUGGCCUCUGAUGAGGCUGGUAAGCUGUUACCCGACCUCCUGCUCCACUACCUGAGGCCUGGUGGUCCCUCCUCCUGAUCGGCCCAUUCCCUGGUGGUGCCCUCUUCUCUUUCUUUUCUAACCCCUCUAGCUGGUCAGUCUUAAUCUGAGCCGUCUUUUCUUCCUCGAUCUCUAUGUCUCUUUUAGCUUGCUCGUAUGCGACCGCAUAUGACUGAAUAACUGGGCUUCUCAAGUUGUACCACAACCUUCCUAUCUUCAUUCCCUCUUUCAAUCCCCUUAGUGCCUGAGGAUGGUUGAAGGCUCCCAAAUCGAGGACAGCACGAUGAAACCUCUUGAUGAAUUCCCGAAGGGUUUCUUGCUCCUCCUAUUUCAUGUUUUUCAGCUCCAUCAUGUCAUCUUCUGGUGCCAUCGCCCCACUAAACUGCUCUGCGAAUUCCUAGCACAUCUGCUCGAAGGUUUUAAUGCUGCCCCGAGGGAGUUUCCUGUACCACUCUCGUGCACGUCCCUCAAGGGAUAGUGGGAACACCCUGCACCUUUGGGAUUGAGAUAAUCCUUGUACCCCAGUUAUGUCGUUGAAGCGCUCUAUGUGCACCAGCGGAUCAGUUCUUCCCGCGUAUCUAAGGUCUGGGAGGCGGAAAUCCCUUGGAAUAAUUGCCCUCAUGAUCUCUGCUGCGAGCGGUGAUUCUCCGUCCAGCAUUAUCCUCCAACCAGGAGCUCUGCUCCUUCUUUGCAUGUCGUCAAUUAUCUGCGCUAGUCUGCGCACUUCCUCCUCCAGCUGCACUGCACGACCAGGGUCACGUGCGGCAACUUGAUCCCGCUCUUGCUCUACAUCAUGCAAGUGUUGCCUCAACUCCGUUUCCUCUGUAUUCGCCACCCCGUCGUCCUCGUCAAAAAUCUGUCUUGUUGGGGACUGCUCUUCCUCUCUAUGAAAUUCUCCCCGCAGAGGUAUGUUAUCUCUCUCACCACCAAAUCUCCCGGUGGUUUGACUUCUCCUCGCACUAUCAGGACCUGGUGCCACUCCACCACCUCUCACCCUUUCCUCCUGGGUUACCCUGCGUUCGCUCCGCAGCUCAUGCAGGAUGGUUGUCAGGGUCUCCAUCUGCUUUUCCAUCCGUUCCAUCCGGUCGAACAUGGCUUUUUCCCGUGCUUCACUGGCUAUCUCCCUCAGCGUCACGGAAUCGUUAAGCCUCAAAUCACCCCCUUGUGCACUACUUCCUCAUGUCUCCAUUGCUUUUCACUUGCUUCACUCCUCUUUUUGCUAUCAACAGAAGCUUUUUGCUCAGCUCCCCACAGACGGCGCCAAAAUGUUGAUGCGAGAUUCUGGUUACACUCUGCCUACGACCAGGAAAUCUGGUUGACCAACCUCACCUCGAUCAGGAUCUCUCCUCGUACGCUUUCUUCUCCAGGUGUUCAUGCGUCCACAGAAACAAGUCAGAGCACGCCGGUUGUUUUUCCGGCGUAAACCCUCCGACGCUCAAGUCAGAUAUGAAGGUCCCGGGAACGCUUGCCACGAAUCUUAUGGCUUUUCUGUAAUCUUCGUUCUUUAGAGUUUUCUUUUCUUAGUUCUAAAUAGCAAAAAUUCUAACCCUUUUACCUUCGUUGGCUACCUUUUUAUAGGCUUCCUCUGAAUCCCGGUCUUCCGUAGUCCACGCCCAUUAUUCUGCCCACCCUCGGAUGUGGAUGCCCCAACGUCGUCAUUGUGGGCGAAUGGAGAUGGACUUCAUGCCUUGAUUCUCGGAUAGGAACGCACGUCCUGCUAACUGUCGUUGACUGGGUCUCCUCGCCUCGACCCCUAGCAGGAAUGGCCUUAUGCCUUUAACAGGAGUUCGUCCUCGUGGAUGAGCAGAAUAGCCCUGCUCCUGUUCCCCUGCUACCAGGCUCUUACAGGACACACCUGCUCGCAGGACUCUGCCACCAACUAUUUGCUCGUCACUUCUGGUCUCGCCGAAGUAUUUCCCUCAAACAGUAAUUAUGAAAUCAGAGCAACACCAGCACUAUAUUAAAUCCUUGUUUCAACUCCAUAAAACCUAAGACAUCAAUUCUUUUACAACAAGAAUUGACAAUUUGUGGAUAUAGAAAGAUAUCAACCGAACCACUAGGAUGGUCUUAACAUUAGAAUAAAACAUUUAAGCUCAAAUCACUAUUAUUGUCAACCUAAUCAUUUGUCGCUCGAGUAAUUCUAUUCUUGUGUCCUAAUUUGAGCACAAAAAUUGAGAUUAAUUAAAUUAAAUUUAAAUUUGAAAUUAUUAAAUAAUGACACGUCAUUUUUUUAAAUAUAAAUGCAUUGUAUUUUUUAGGUAGACUUGAAAUCACAUCGAACGAAUUAGAUUAUUUAUGUAAACUUUACCUCCAGUAAAUAAUUUAGAACAACGGUGACAAUUUGGGUUAGAAUUCGUUUAUUCGAUUUGAUUCAAUGCAAAUUAAAUGGGUUUGCGUUUGAAAAAAAAUUAUUUGUUUUAUAAAUGGAUGAAUUCAAUUCGAUUUGCUAAUUAAACAAAUCAAAUUUGAGUUUGAGGAUAUUGAUUCAUUUAUUCGUUUAGGAUUCAUUUAAUAAAUAGGUCAUAAACAAGUUGAAUAUGAACCAUUCAUUUAAAGUUAGUUUAAUUAAAUUAUUUAUUUAUACUUAAAUAUGUAUGAAAAAAUUUUAAACUUUGAAGUUUAAUAUAGCAGUCAUAAUGUUUUGUAGGAUGUUAAAUUUACAAUCUUUUUAUAUUUUAUUUUGCUUAUUUUUUGUUCAUUAUAAAUAAAUUGUAAAUGGAUCGAGAUUUGAUUUGAUUCGUUUAUUAAUUUUACUAAACGAAUUUUACGAAUCAAAUCGAAUAUUCAUUUAAUAAACGAAUCGAAUCCAAAUCAACAUAAUUUUAAAUCAAUUUAUUUAUGGUUCGAUUCAAAUACGAUUCAUUUAUUCAUUCUGCUAUCCCUAAUUUAGAACAUAUUUUUAGCGAAAUAGUAUAAUAACGAUGGACUCCCUAAUCUUUCAUGAUUUCACAAGUAAGGACAUAACUAUCUAUUUGUCUCAAAUAUGCGCAUUACCCAUACAGAAAUAUAAUUGAACUUGCUCUUUGUGUUCGUGACAUAUAAUAUAAUUCUUUGCUUCAUUCCCACGGAUACCUUUUCUUUCGUGAUUAUUAGCUUCACAAUGCACUUUGUUUGGAUUCUAUCCUUUUUUUUUUAAUUCAAGAUUAGCCUUCCCUUCAACAAAAUUUUCAUAGAGAAUUUACAUUUUGGUACUACACUUAUUUAUUGCUCUCAUCUGACAAGUCUUGAGUUUUUCUAAUUAAGCAAAUGUGUUUGAUUUGUGAAGUAUCAUAAUAAAAGUACGAUGAACAAAAUUAACAACAUUCAUUUACUUGUUGAAUAUUUAAUAAUAAUGAUCGCGGACUACUCUCUUAAAGUAAUAUUAUUAGCGGCCCUCUAAAAAUCUCUUAAAACCUUUUAUUUUUUUCACUAUACUUACAUACUUUAAAAUAAUAUAAAUAUCUAAUAACACCUCUUUUAAUGAUAAAAAUAACCUUAAAUACAAUAACUUCUGAUGAAACCCAAAAUUUCAAUUCUUCCUUGUUCAAACCCAAUAUUUAGAUUCAGUUUCCUAUUUUUCAAAUCCACAAUUGAAAUAUUGUUCCUUGGGUUGUGGAAUUUAUUUAAUGCUAGCCGUUGAGUCUGGUCUUCUCCCAUUGUUAAAUUCAAAUUAUGAUUUUCAAUUCCCAAUUAUUUUCAGCACAUAAGCAGAUCAUUCAAAAAUCUGUUUGUCGAGUAUGCCAUUAGUCGUUCUUAGCAUUAAUUACAUUGAUGACUGGACGUAGGCCAUAGCCUCUAUUCCAUAUUUGAUCUAGAAAAAGAAUCAUAAGGCUUUCAAUUAUUUUUUUUUUUUUUGGUUUAAAAAUUUUUAAAAAGGUUAGUUCAAGAGAAAAAAAGAAAAGAAAAGAAAAGAGGUUUUUUUUUUAAAUAAUAGAAGUGUUAAAAAAAAUAAAAAAUUUUAAAUAACAUAUAACACAUAUAUAUGACAUGUGGGUGCAUAUAGUUUUUCAAAAAAGAAAAUUAGUGGUGUUUAAAUGUAGGUUUAAUUAUGUAUAUGUUUUGUCUUUUAAUAUAAUUCAGUGAAGAUUAAAGAUGUAGAUCAUUAAAAAGGAUUAUCAAAGAAUUUUAUAAUGGUGCAAAUAGUUCAGCUCUUCAUCUAAAUAUUGAUUCGUGGGUUGAUUUUUUAAACCCGCAAACUCAGGUAAUGUGAGAUUAAUUAAUUGAAUGGUAGAAGUGAGUAAUAAAUUAUAAAAUUUAUUGAUUUUUACGUGACCUAGACGCAUAAAUUAUACAAAAAGGUAAUUGGACUGGAACAAGUUAUUCCUAACAUUACAUGCAGGUAGGGUAUCAAUAUAAUUAAUUCUUUGCUUCAUUCUCAUGUAUACCUUUUCUUCACCGAAUAAUUCUUGGCUGACAUUACAACACACUUGGUUUGGACUCAAUCCCAGAAUGAAAGAUUAGCCUUUCCUUCUACAAAACUGUGACAGAGAUUAGAGAAUUUGCAUUCUGGUUUUACGCAAUUCUCUGCAGUUCUCAUCUUUUAAUUUGUCUUUUCAAUUCACUCAAGAAAACUUCGACAAGGAAUUGGCCAACCCUGCCCAUUUAUUCAGGCAAGUGAAAUAAUUUUGGUGGAAUUAAUAAAUGCUCUCUCCUCUCAUUGUCUUAAUUAAUUUCUUAACAACGUUAUCUACACAAUCUCUUUGUCAGAGUCAUUGUUCAAGAAGCCUAAAACAUGAAGGCCGUUUGGAUUGCCUGCCUUUAAAGUAGAAUUAGAAAGCAGCACCAGGUACCUUUUUUUAUUAUUGUUAUUAUUGUUAUUAUUGUUAUUAUUUAUUUUCAUGAUAGUUUUUGGACUGAACGUUUGUACAAUGUUGAAAGCAUGACACUCUAUUAUAUACAUUAGCAUUCUAUCUUGGAAACAAUUUAUUUAAGCCAACCUUCUUUAUAAGUUUUUUCUUUAUAUCUUAUUGCACGUUAAGGGCAUGUUUUAUAGGAUUACAGAUCCGUUUUGAUACUAUAGUUAGAUAGUUGUAAUUUUUAAACACCAACUCUAAAAUAUUGACAAACACUUGUAUAUCUAUAACUUAAAAGCUGAGGUGAUUAUCUCUCAUUAUACAUGAUAAAAUAUUUAUAUUGUCCCAAAACGUUAUCAAAAAUAUAAUUACACCACCCAUUUUUUAAUAUUUAAUAAAUAAAUAAAUAAAUUUUAUUUCCACCUUAAAAAAAACUAAUGGUGGUCAUAGUCAUCCAAAAUUGCUAAAAAAACAAAACAAAAUAAAUGUUAAUGUAUAUAAUAGAGCAAUUAUUGUCCAAAGCCGUGGCUUCACAUUGACCUGUCGUUUAAUGCGGUGAGUCAUAGUGCAACACCACCUUCACACACUAAAGCGUGUAACACACUUUCAGAUGCUGAUGGUGGUAUGAUGCCCUACCCCUAAAAGGCCACUCACAGCGAAAUCGCAGCUUUGGGUGGUGAUUUCACCGUCUCUAAGGACUUUUUAAGUCCGGUAAUUGCGCUGUUAAGCAGCUAGCAAAAAAGGAAGUCCAAUAGUACCUAAUUUUAAGGGUGGGCGGGUUGAAUUGGUUGGGUAGAAUAUUAACCUAAUUCAAUCCGCAUAUAGAACAUGUUAAAAAAAUUCAAUCCCCAGAACUACGGGUUGGGUUGAUUGGGUUGGGUUUUUGUAAACAUCUAUUUUUUUUAAUCUAAACAAAAAUAAAUUAAUUAAUUAAAAAAAUUAAAAAACACAAAUAUUAAAAUCCUUACAACAAAUCCAACAUUUCAAAACUCAACAAUCAAAUUAUUCGUACAUAAUUAAUGGAAAAAAAAACAAGUCCAUUAUUUAAAAUUCUUAUUUAAUACAGAACACUAAAUAUCAAAAUUUAUAUAAUAACACACACACACGCACACACACAUAAAUGAGUUGACGGGUUGGGUUGGAUUAAAAUUUUCAACUCAACCUACAAAAAAUCAUAUGAGUUGGGUCGGUUUCACGGGUUAGACGAGUUGAUGUCCACCCCUACCUAAUUUAUUGCACGACUUAGAAGUUUGCUAGUGACAAAUAUAUUUUCAAUAUACAUUAUAAUUACCGAAUAGUUGAUUUAAUAUAAUUUAAGAAAUUAAAUAAUAACUAUUUACGUAAUAGUAUAUUUGAUUUAGUAAUUAUAUAAUUUAUUAAGUUUUAAACUUUAUUUUGGGUGGGGAUAUUUCCACCAUAUUAUUGUAGUAAAUCCACCCCACUUCUAAAAAAUAAUUACAGUGAGUUCACAAUAUUUUUAAAAAAUACAAAUUAAUAAAAGUAUUGUACAGUCUAUCAAUUAAAUCAUUCUAUUAAUUUUUUUCUUAGGUUUCUUUGAUCAUAUUUGAUUAUAAACCUUAAUUUAAGUUUUAUUUUGCUAUUUUAUUAUUAUGAUAUAAAAUGACCACAUUGCCUCAAUAAACAUGACUUAUUGUAUCUAAUAAUUUAGGUAUUUAAUUUUCUGACUUAUAAUCUAAUAUUUUUAAAUAAAAUUUAAUUAUUAUUUUCACUAUCCUUACAUGUAAACAGCAUAAAUUUGACAGCCCAAUAAUUUACAUGAAUAUUGUGCCAUAAAGACCAUAUGGUAGUGUAAUUAAAGUUUAAUAAUCAUACUAAUAAAGUAGUAUUAAUUAGAAAAAAUGAGUUUAGUAUAAAAUUAGAAAACUAUUGAAGUUAAAGUAAAUUCUUGGUGGUUUUACCUUAUAAGAAUAAAAUAGUAAAAAAUUUAUGCCCAAAAAACUUUUGUAAUCAAAUAUAAUAAGAAAUUGAAGUCAUAAAAAGAGAGAUUUAAUAAAUUAAUUCUCUAAAAUUCUUCUUCAUUUGAAAUUUCUUGAAAAUAUUAAGGAUUUUUUGUAAUUAUUUUUUGAAACGAGGUGGAUUUAUAAAAACUAUGGGGUGAAGAUGUCAUCACCCUUUCAUUUUAGGAUUAAUUGCGCCCUGCUCUCAAGCCUUCCAAAAUUUUCUAUUUUGCCCACAAUUGUUUCAACUUCUUCUACCGCACACCUACAACCGUUGGUUUCGUUGUUAUCUUUGACGUUUAAAGUGUAAAAUGUGAAAAUUCAAUUAUAAAAAUUAAUAAACCCGAUAUAUUUCUUUUUUUUUUCCCUUUAGGGUGGAAUUAACCCUUUACUUUAAUACAAAUUUUUAUGAAAACUAUAACUAAUGUAUUUACCAAAUACCUACUAGCUUUUAUUUCAUAGCUGCAACUUCUAUCUCAAUAAAGAUAUUAUAUAACUUUUAAUUCAAUGCCAAGCAAAGUGUAUAUUGAGUAUUCUCUUGUCUUUUGUUUGGCGAGCAUAAGAUCGGACUAGAUUACAAAAUUUAUUAGUUGUAACAAUAAUAAUAAAUAAUCAUUAUUAAGAAUAUUUAACUAUUACUUUUUUUCACUAUUGAAAAUAAUUAUACUUUUUAUCAUAAAUUUCAAUUACAUUGCUAUUUUAUUCAAUAAUUAUUAAACUAAUUUAUUAAUAAGAAAGGGAAAUAUUUUUAUUGAGUAAAUUUUAAAAAGUCUCUUUUAAAUAUUUGAGUUAUCCUAAGUUAUUUAUAUCUUGGGAAACCAUGGGAUAAAUUUUUCUCUCAAUAGGAGACGGGCAAAUAUCCACCAACGACUCGAUGUUUAGCAUUUUAUCAAAACUACACCAAUUUUUUUCUUUUACAACUAUCCAAUAGAAUUUUAUAAAGUGUAUGACUUUUUUACUUCAUUAAUUCCAUUAGAAGAUUUAACAAAAUAUUAACAAAAUGACUAUUUUCCUCCUAAUCAUAAAAAGUCUAUUUAAUGCUAGCUAAAUAACAAAAAAUGGAUUUCAUUUUGUAGUUGUUAGACCAAUAACCCUACGAAUUUAAUUAGCUAUAUAAACUCAUGAAACCUAUUAAUUUGUAUAUAUAAAAUCACCUAAGUAACUAGCCUAGCUAAUUUGUAACUCAUUUGCAACAUAAAUUAAGAACCACUUCUCAUAUGAUCUAUCCUGAGUAACAUAUCUUUGACAAUAAUAACAAAGCUUAACCAAUAAUAAAUCACUAAUAGAAAAAUUAUAGUUAUCCAAAAUACAUUCAAAAUAACAAAAAAGCAAUGGUGAGAAACUUUGAACAUUACAUUGUGUUCCCUAUCAAUAAAAAAUUGCAACGUAAAAUAAAUUAUGGGAGAACUUAGAGUUUGCAUUUUGUUCUCAUCAAUCCAAAAUAACAAUACAUUUCAAAAGCAUCUAAAAUAACGAUCGAUAAAUAGUGUUUUUAUAUUUAAUAGCAAAAUGAUCAUUUUAUAAUUUUUCUGUUAAAUUCUCUAUAGAUGCUAAUAGAAAAGUUAAGUGUGAUACACUUCGUAAAUUUAAAAUGGAAAGUUGCAAAAGAAAAAAAUUUUGAGGUAUUUUUGAUGAAGUUUGAAACAUAAAGAUGUACGUGAUAUUUGCCCAUAAGGUAUUAAACGGAGAAUCCUUCAAAAUAUAUGAUUAGAUAAAAGAUAAUCCAAUUAAAUGUUCUUAUCCUGUAACCAAACACGCUAUAAACGCAAGAACACGCAAAUUGGUUCAUAUUGGAGUAAUUAUUUAUCCUUUAAAAAAGUGAAGUUCUUUGUUUUGAUUUUAAAGAUGUCUGAAACAAUGUGAAUGUGUUAGGAAUUCUUACCAUUUAAAAGUUUUCACAGCAGAUAGAAUAACAAUCUCAUGCUCAAAUCUAUCUAUAUAAUACAGGGAAAUGGAGCCAGGGGCAGUCAUUGAAAUCAUAAACUUUGUAGGACCUCCAAUUUGUAAAUACUGGAACUAUCACAGAAACCUUAAGAUAUUUUUGGAUACUCUUAGAAGCAAGAAGGAAGAUCUGAAUUGCCGCAAGGAAGAUGUGGAGUUAAGAUUGAGUGCAGAGUGUCAUUCUGGAAAGACACCAAAGAAAGAAGUCGAAAAAUGGUUAAAGAAAGCAGAGAAAGUGAGUAAUGAGGCACAGAGUCUAGAAGAUAAAGCCGGUAAAUGCAGAUAUGUAUCUCGUGCUUGUCUGGGGAAACUUAUUGACGAGAAGAGCAAGGAACUAAUUGAAGUUUAUGAUCAAGGUAGUUUUCCUACUAGUUUGGUAAUUGAUCCUCCUUCAAAUGUUGGGUCAAAUGUUGGGCAGCUGAUACCAACGCAAGAACUGGUCGGUGAAGCUACUGUCAAAGAAAAAGUUCGGGGACACUUGAUGGGUAGCACAGUAUGCAAGAUUGGAGUUUGUGGGAUGGGCGGGAUAGGAAAGACAACGAUCAUGAAGCAUGUCCACAACGAGCUCUUGAAGGAAACCAAGUUUGAUACAGUAAUUUGGGUGACUGUGUCCCAAGAAUUUGAUGUCAAGGAGAUACAGGAAGACAUUGCAUCUGCCUUGAAAAAAAGUCUAUCAGCUACGGAUAAAAUCAUGCGGGCGGCACAGUUGUCAAAAAUGUUGAAAGAAAGAAAGAGGUAUGCAUUGAUUUUAGAUGAUGUGUGGGAGAUGUUUUCCCUCGAUGAGGUUGGAAUCCCUGAGCCAACUGUAGACAAUGGGUGCAAAUUAGUUUUAACAACACGUUCAAAAGAAGUGGCUCGAUCUAUGGGUUGUGAGGAGAUCCCAGUUGAUUUGCUUUCAGAAGACGAGGCAUUGCGUUUGUUCUCGAAGCAUGUUGGAGAUCGCCUUUUGCACAUUCCGACUAUAGAACCAAUUUUGAAACAAGUGCUGGAGCAGUGUGCUGGUCUGCCUCUCGCAAUUGUUACAGUAGCUAGCAGUAUGAGGGAUGUGAAAGAUGUUGACUUGUGGAAGAAUGCAUUAAACGAAUUAAAAAAGCACUCAAGCAGUGUUGAGGGUAUCCGAGAUAAGGUAAUUCCAAGAUUGAAGUUUAGUUAUGAUCGUUUGAUGGAUUCGAAAAUAAAGCAUUGCUUUUUAUAUUGCGCAUUGUAUCCUGAAGACUUCGAUAUUCCUAAAGAGGAGCUCAUAGAAUAUUGGAUUGUCGAGGGGCUCAUAGAUGUAAUGGAGACUAGACAAGCAAUGCAUUACAAGGGUCUUGCAAUUUUACAUAAGCUAAAAGAGAAUUGUUUGUUAGAAAGUGCCGAAGAUGGGAAAUGUGUAAAGAUGCAUGAUCUUGUAAGAGAGAUGGCAUUGGAUAUUACUACUGGGAGUCCUCGGUAUUUAGUAGAAGCUGGAAAAUUCGGAGCGCUACUUCUUGAGGAAGAAUGGAAAGAUGAUGUCGAGAAGGUUUCUUUAAUGCGGUGCCGUAUAACAAGAAUUCCCUCCAACUUCCCAUCUUCAGGGUGUAGAUCACUCUCAACGUUGUUGUUGCAGCAUAAUUACAUAGAAGAGAUUCCUGAAUCCUUCUUUGAACACUUGACUGGGCUAAAGAUUCUCGAUCUGUCUGGAAAUAGUAAUCUUCUGCGUCUGCCAGAUUCCAUAUCCGGUUUAAUAAACCUCACAGCAUUGAUGGUUCAUGGUUGCUUUAGGCUAAGGCAUGUGCCUUCUUUGGCCAAACUUAGCGCUUUAAAGAAGUUGGAUCUUGGAGGCACGGAAAUUGACGUCGUUCCUCAAGGAUUGGAAAUGUUGGCACAUCUCACGUACCUUGAUUUGAAUUGGACACGAAUUCUACAAAUUCCUGAUGGUAUGUUAUCGAAUCUCUCCCGUAUUCAGCACUUGCGGUUGGAUCGCGUUGCCUUUGAAAACGCAGAAGACAUUUUGAGAUUGAUGAAAUUGGAAAUUUUUGGAGUGCGAUUCGAUCAUCUGCAAGACUAUCAUCGGUACUUAUCUCUGCAAUCCCGAAGAAGACUCAGCAAGUAUUAUUUUACUGUGGAGAAGAACGCUUAUACAUAUGCACGCGGGGAGUGGGAUAAAUAUGUUUCACUUGUUGAGUUACGUAUUUGUGAAAAUUCUGUUGUGCUCCCUCGUGACAUUCAGCAAUUGCAUUUUAAUGCGUGUGGUGGUAUGAGAAGCUUAAGGGAUGUUCCUUCUUUGAAAGAUACAACUGACUUGAGGGAAUGCGUGAUUUACAGGUGCUACGAGAUGGAGUUUGUGUUUUGUUUGUCCUCCUGUUACGGCAUCCUCGAGACCCUUGAGUACUUGUUGCUUCAACGGUUGGUCGACUUGAAGGCCAUUUUUCAAAUUGCAGAAGACGAAGUUAAUGCUUCCUCACUACGAACACAAACACCAUCACCGCCAAACAUUGUUUUUUGUCUCAAGAGGUUAAUCAUGUCUGAUUGUGGUAAAAUACGAAAGCUGUUCUCGCCUGAGUUGCUACCAUCGCUCCAAAACUUGGAAGAGAUUCAAGUUACGUAUUGUGGAGGACUUGAGGAAAUAAUAGCCGCGUCAGAUGAUGAUGAAGAAGGAGAAAACAAUGAAGCAGCAGGAAAUAAUUCCAUCAAAUCAUUGGCUCUUCCCAAAUUAAGAGUUCUCUCUUUGAAAGAACUACCAAAUUUAAUGAGCAUUUGUAGCCGUCGUUCGACAUUAGUUUGUAAUUCUCUGGAAACCAUUGUUGUGUUGCGAUGUCCAGAGAUAAAGAGGUUGCCUGUCUUGCUUCCCCAUCUUGUAAAUGGCCAACCAUUAAAUCCCCGCUCUCUUAGGAUCGACAUUGACAAAGAUUGCUGGGAUGCACUGGAGUGGGAUGAUCCCAACACUAAAAGCCUCCUCGCACUCGUCCGUGGAUACUGGUGGAGUUAAGAGUACCUCUGUAAGUUCUUCAAUACUUCACUCCAUUCGUUUAAGAAAUCUUUUUCUUUUUUAUUUCUGUCAUCAUCUUCAAUUCUUCCCUUUUUAUGUUAAAAACAAAAAUAAAUAAAUAGAUAAAUAAAUAAAUAAAUAAAUAAAGCAAAGCUUAUUGGAAUCUUGUUUCUUAUGAUCAGCGAAACGUCACGAGGCCAAAGCAAUUUGCAAAUGCUAGUUCUUCGAAGGAACGACUGUGCAGAAGCAAAUGAAAUGAAUCGAGGUAUGAUUUCUAAAGUGAAGUUUGCUUUAGGGAAGUGGUUUGAUUUAUGAUGAUUUGUACAGAACUCUUAAGCAAGCUAAUUGCUUUCUGUUUCAUAUUUCUCACAAUGAAGAUGCAUUGUAAUUCGUUAAUUAUCGAGUUAUUGUGUAAUAAUAAUACAUGCAAACUUCCUCUCAUAUUACUAGGAAGCUUGUAUAAUAUUUUCAGCUGCCUGUCACACUCUCCUUCAUGUAAAUAUAUGGUUUUCAUGACAUCCAUUUUCUAUUUUGCCGUAAAUUGUGCUUUCUUUGGCAAAACUGGGGGCUUUAAAGAUUUUAGUUCUUGAUGGCAUACGAACUAUGAGACGUUCCUACAGGAAUAGAAAGGUCGACUAAAAAGCUGUUUAUUCUUUAAAAAUGCAACUCUCAUUUGGGAAUACAGCAAAAAGUCAGGAAAGGAGAUGAAGAUAAUCCGCAAAUCAACUCUCAUUUGGCAAUACAAGGCGAUCUUGACCUUCGAUAAGCUUCGCAGAUUGAAUGACAUCCCCAGUUUUGAUCUGUGGCAGAAUGUCUCUCCCCACCGUUGUGUACCUGCAAAUUAGAAGAAAAGUAUAAUCAGUUCAAGCACCAAACGGUCUCUAGCUUGCUUACAGCCGCUAGCCAAGAUAAAAAAGAAAAUAACAUGAUAGAGGUUUAAUAAUUUACCCAAAAACGGAAAAUUGCCCUUCAUCGAAAGAUAACCCCCCUAGGCCAGCCUACAGAACAAGUACAUGUGAGAAUAUAUCAGUCUAGAUAAAUCAAAAGCAAAGUAGAGACCAUACGGAAAAGGAAUAGGGACAUGUUGAACAAAAGCCUGUUAUGUCUCGGUUCUAAUGAUGUGAUGUAAUUUGCUCACAUUUCUUUUGUCAUAAAGGUAGAAGAAAAACUGAUACGGGGCAGAGUAUUCCUCUGAGUCUUCACUAUGUGCCAUUGCAACAGCUCCAUAUACUGAUAAAGGAAGAACCGGCAAUUCUCCAUCCUUCCAAGUGAAAAUUAAAGAAUGAAGACGUAAGAUAACGUUUUUUUUUUUUAAUUUUAAGAAGUAAGAUAACGUAUUGUUAAGUGCAUCAAAACAUGCAAUGUUACGGAUUGUUAACUGCAUCAAAACAUGCAAUGUUUACCUGCACGUUUAAGGCUGUCCUGUACAAUGGCUCAAAUUGCCCUGAUGGCAUUAUUUCCAAGGGCAAAUUGUAAUCACUGCCCUUAUCUAGACCUUUUUCUGUCAGAACAGCUUGGUUCGUACAAUUUAGCCUUGUCCCAUCAUAUGCUCCAUCAAUCACCUGAAAGUUUAUUGAAUGGUUUAAUGUAUUUUAUCAGGAGAGUACACGUACUCCUGUAAUUCUAAGUUUUCCAUACAAGGAAAAGAAUGUUUAUUGAGUCUUUAGAUUUGUUUAAAAACCACUGCAGUCAUCAAACCUGAAAGUAGACAGUGAAAAAUAACAGGAAAAAUCCAGAUUAUAUGAUGACUGUACAAAGUACAUCACAAGGCUGAGGUGAGAUUCAACUACCUUACCAGCUUUGCGACAUUCCCAGCUGUUAAUGGUGCUGAAUAUCCAUCUAGAACAACCUGAAUCAAUUAACAGUAAAUUACUAGCAGAAAACACAAUAACACACUAAGAAGAAUAGAAGCAAUGUAAUAGCUCAUUUUGAUGAAAGGAAAUUCAUAAGUUUGCAGAAAUUAAUAAACCUAAGACUUCUAGAAAAUUAACAAGAACUAAUGCAUGCAGCUUACCAUAGUUAUCCUUUUCUAAAAAUGAAAAAUAAAAAAGGAAAACACAUAAUGAUGCUUAAUUAAGUUAAAUUCAUCUACCUGAAUUGUGGCAGUUUUCCUUGGUUCACCACCAGCUUCGGGAGAAAAUGAUGAACCAUCUCCCUUCUCAAUGGUAAGUUCGACAAUUCCUCUCCCUGGUAACCUAAAAAUAAAAGAGUACCACAUUCUAAUUCAGAAUCAUACAAUACCAAUAAAAAUACUUGCGUUUCUACAACAAGAUUUGACUCAUUGUGGAUAUGGAAAUAGAAACAACCAUAAGGACAGACACUAGAAUAACUUGUUUGAGUAACAUCACUUUCUAUGAUACCCAUAUAACCACCGUCACUAAAAUAGAGAAUUAGAAGUUAUAAGACAAUCAACAGAAAAUACUGACCUCGGAUAUUUCUUGUAUUGCUCUGGCAACAAAAAGGAUAACCCAGGAGCCUGUUGCAAACAAUAAUAUUAACUUGAGAUUUUUACACGUUCUCAUAUGAUCCAAGUUGCAUAACUAUCAAUUUAAAAUUACUGGAAACUGAAGAAAGUCAAGUCAUUUGUCGAAUAGAUAUGCGGAUCAUAGAAGGAUCAUCUAAAAUUACAAAGGAACCGCAAAACCUGUAGCAACUCCAGUUCUGCAACUGUAUCCAGUGAAGAUGCAAGGCCAACAGAUACUUUAUCUGGGUCCUGAUCCUUGAUACACUUUAGAAGUGCUUGCAGUCCACCCUACAGAAAAGAAAACUAUAAUAUCAUUUAAGUGUGUUCAGCAAUGGACCAUGCAAGCAGAUUUUGUAAUCAAUUACAUGAGCAUUUUAUAGAUAAAUUAUUCCUUUGAAGACUGCUGUCGUGUAAACAAAAUAACUGUAGCUUAUAAAACAUAAAGAGCUUUCUUUACAUUUUCGGUUUCUUGAAAGCAUGUAAUUCUGCAGACAUGUAAUUGUGGCUCUUUGUAGACAUGUAAACAAGUGGGAGAAAUUAAAAUGCUUAUAGCACUUCAUAGGUCAUUAUACAUUGUAAAUGUUCUUAAUCAACCCAACAUUGGACGUAGUAGUUAGUCAAUAUGAGUGAAAGAUAUACAAAGAUUCUAAGUGUUUUCUCACAUUAAAUUAACCUGUACUUCUUAUUUCCAAGUAAAUUCUUAUACCUUCCCGUCAAUGAGAGAUGCAUACAGUGUAGAACCCUUUUCCUUUAGAUCCGCUGGAAUACUUGACAGUAUAGAGUCCUUUUCGUCCAUUGCUAUCUAAAGUCAGGAAAGAAAAACAAUAAUGCAAAUUUCCGGAAACUGAAUCAUAAUAGAUGACUUGGAUAACGAGAGAAGAAAAGAAGUUAAUGGCUGAAGGUUUACAAAGUGAAAUAAGUCUCUGUUAGUUGAUUUUUUUAACACUCGCUGGGCUGCAAAAUAUAUAUUAAGACUACUCGUAGAUAGAAGGUUAUUCUCAUUCUUAAUACAUUGUUUCUUAAGAAAAGAGAGAGAGAGAGAGAGAGAGAGAGGGAGAAAAUUGGACAAAUAAUACCUUUAGUGCUUUCUUCACAUUACCCUCCAUGGUUCCGUAAGGUUUUCUCUGUGGAAUCCUUAGCAAAAAUGAUAUAUCCUCCAAAGAAGCCUUAAAAGAAAAAGCUACUGAUUACAAAGUAAGUUAGAGAAAUGGAAAAAAAUUAUGUUACUAGUACCACCUGUAUUGCCUUCAUGUUUGCAUUUGCAGGGAUAGCCCUUCUCAAAGCAAGUUCUCCAGUUCUUGGGACCUUUGUGUCAGGAGAAUAAAGCACUGCAUUUGCGGGGAAAACUGACCAAAAGUCCCAGCCAACCAAGCAUAGUGGAGUAGAAAUUUGGACAAAAAUAAGAAUUGUUGCAAUCAAAGUCUUUACUGUUUUCAUUCCAUGUUGAAAAGUUGAUAUGAAUAAUUUGGUAGGAAGAUCAUGCUGGUGCACUGGUUCCUGCAUAAUCGGAAAUCCAUUUAAAAGCAAGGAGGAGCUCAAUAGAGAAAUAUAGUUUCAUCUUUCUUCUGGUCCAAAAGUAUAGCUCUAAUCAUUCAGUAAGAAGAUAAGAACUGAAUCGGGCAAAUCAGAGCAGAUUUUAACUAUACUAGACACAAAAUUGGCUGCAACAGUAUAGGAUAGUUGUUAUGUUACUGAAACGUGACAUUAUAACAUUUGUAAUUUGCUAAACUUGGUUCCUGUGUUUAAGCAGUGGAAGGGGUUAUAAAUAAAGGGUAACUCGCUAUUCGAAAAAACUUAUAUUGAAUGAACAGAAUAGCCAUCACUAGAUGGAAAGGGACACAUCUGCUAGACAACUAUGGCACUUUACUAGUUCAAACAUGACACCAAUAGUAAUUCUGUAGCUAUUUCUACUAUCCCUUUAAGCACCCGGCCACAGACAGCUUUUGUGAUAAACCACACUCCAAAUCCCUUCCUAUUCAUCUCUAUGAUUACCUCCACCACCACCAUGACUGCCAUGCACACUGAUGAAGGUAGUAAAGGAGAAAGCAAUCUACAAGAAUCUUAAGAAGUAUAAGUAAAAGGAAUGGAUGGAUUACAAAUUCAAAUAGACUAACAUGCCUAUUCCAUGACAUAGGCCAGAUAUGACCUGUGGUCCUCAAUACAAACCCCAAUCUGGGGUCUCUAAUAUAGUUACCAGGCAACAUUACCAACUAGGCCAAAUUGACACCUUUUCCACCCACCAUUAGUUUGCAAUCAUCUGACCACUAUUUCAUAAAUUUAGUAUCUAAUGCAUAUAGUCAGAGAAAUAAAUAACAAAACCUACAGCAAUGCCUCAAGUCGAAUGAUCACAGUCAUUUUUAUGAGUAAGUAGCUCUCAACUAAUUAAUUUUUCGUCAAAAUGGGGUUUACAUAUAAACCAAAGAUACUUUAAUAAGUUUCACACCAUUCGAAAACAAACAAUAUGCAUUUCAAAAUUAAACUAAUCACCAUAUAACAUUUGUUCUAGAAAGCAAUUUUCCAUAAUUUCAUAAAGAAUUGCAUAGCAUUGAUUAAUAAGAAGAGCUCAGAUGGUGUAAUCACAAAUCUCCUAGACUCCUACAUUAACAUUAUCGCGCCCCCGAAAUUUUGAAACCAUUUACAACUAAAUACACGAAAUUAUCAAUUCCAC
Molecule: long non-coding RNA, 39156 nt
Filed under: Citrus x clementina
Lineage: Eukaryota; Viridiplantae; Streptophyta; Magnoliopsida; Sapindales; Rutaceae
Description: Citrus clementina (C. clementina) long non-coding RNA (CCLE_LNC006711)
Source: RNAcentral